AUUAAACGCUGGCGGCAUGCCUUACACAUGCAAGUCGAACGGCAGCACGGGGGCAACCUUGGUGGCGAGUGGCGAACGGGUGAGUAAAGCAUCGGAACGUGCCCUGGAGUGGGGGAUAACGUAGCGAAAGUUACGCUAAUACCGCAUAUUCUGUGAGCAGGAAUGCAGGGGAUCGCAAGACCUUGCGCUCUGGGAGCGGCCGAUGUCGGAUUAGCUAGUUGGUGGGGUAAAGGCCUACCAAGGCGACGAUCCGUAGCGGGUCUGAGAGGAUGAUCCGCCACACUGGGACUGAGACACGGCCCAGACUCCUACGGGAGGCAGCAGUGGGGAAUUUUGGACAAUGGGCGGAAGCCUGAUCCAGCCAUGCCGCGUGAGUGAAGAAGGCC
RNAcentral lists this ribosomal RNA (386 nucleotides) under uncultured bacterium. RNAcentral describes it as "bacterial SSU rRNA". It matches the Rfam family "Bacterial small subunit ribosomal RNA", at positions 29 to 416 of the family's 1533-position model. The record is from RNAcentral.